RNAcentral lists this ribosomal RNA (1048 nucleotides) under Vibrio parahaemolyticus. RNAcentral describes it as "bacterial SSU rRNA". It matches the Rfam family "Bacterial small subunit ribosomal RNA". Lineage: Bacteria; Pseudomonadati; Pseudomonadota; Gammaproteobacteria; Vibrionales; Vibrionaceae. The record is from RNAcentral.
CGGUGUAGUUAAUAGCUGCAUCGUUUGACGUUAGCGACAGAAGAAGCACCGGCUAACUCCGUGCCAGCAGCCGCGGUAAUACGGUAGUGUAGUUAAUAGCUGCAUUAUUUGACGUUAGCGACAGAAGAAGCACCGGCUAACUCCGUGCCAGCAGCCGCGGUAAUACGGAGGGUGCGAGCGUUAAUCGGAAUUACUGGGCGUAAAGCGCAUGCAGGUGGUUUGUUAAGUCAGAUGUGAAAGCCCGGGGCUCAACCUCGGAAUUGCAUUUGAAACUGGCAGACUAGAGUACUGUAGAGGGGGGUAGAAUUUCAGGUGUAGCGGUGAAAUGCGUAGAGAUCUGAAGGAAUACCGGUGGCGAAGGCGGCCCCCUGGACAGAUACUGACACUCAGAUGCGAAAGCGUGGGGAGCAAACAGGAUUAGAUACCCUGGUAGUCCACGCCGUAAACGAUGUCUACUUGGAGGUUGUGGCCUUGAGCCGUGGCUUUCGGAGCUAACGCGUUAAGUAGACCGCCUGGGGAGUACGGUCGCAAGAUUAAAACUCAAAUGAAUUGACGGGGGCCCGCACAAGCGGUGGAGCAUGUGGUUUAAUUCGAUGCAACGCGAAGAACCUUACCUACUCUUGACAUCCAGAGAACUUUCCAGAGAUGGAUUGGUGCCUUCGGGAACUCUGAGACAGGUGCUGCAUGGCUGUCGUCAGCUCGUGUUGUGAAAUGUUGGGUUAAGUCCCGCAACGAGCGCAACCCUUAUCCUUGUUUGCCAGCGAGUAAUGUCGGGAACUCCAGGGAGACUGCCGGUGAUAAACCGGAGGAAGGUGGGGACGACGUCAAGUCAUCAUGGCCCUUACGAGUAGGGCUACACACGUGCUACAAUGGCGCAUACAGAGGGCGGCCAACUUGCGAAAGUGAGCGAAUCCCAAAAAGUGCGUCGUAGUCCGGAUUGGAGUCUGCAACUCGACUCCAUGAAGUCGGAAUCGCUAGUAAUCGUGGAUCAGAAUGCCACGGUGAAUACGUUCCCGGGCCUUGUACACACCGCCCGUCACACCAUGGG